RNAcentral lists this small RNA (314 nucleotides) under Ictidomys tridecemlineatus (thirteen-lined ground squirrel). RNAcentral describes it as "7SK RNA (ENSSTOG00000018425.2)". The stretch from base 1 to 260 matches the Rfam family "7SK RNA". Rfam says of the family: 7SK was discovered as an abundant small nuclear RNA in the mid-70s but a possible function has only recently been suggested. Lineage: Eukaryota; Metazoa; Chordata; Mammalia; Rodentia; Sciuridae. The record is from RNAcentral.
GCAGGUAAGGGCAAUCUGGCUGUGACUUCUGACACCCCACUGAUUGUCAACAUGGAUUCCACUGAUCUGGCUGGCUAGGUUGGUGUGUCCUUUCUCUCUCACCAGUUCAUGUCUGUCCCACCAAAACUCUGUGCUCGGCUGACGAAGACAAGCUUCCCAAUAGAAGACCAGUUUUUAGUCCAGUCCCUGGCUAGGACCAUCAAACAAGUUCUUAAAAAACAGACUGGAAGGAUUAUGAAGUUAAAAAAAAAAAAAAGAAUGAAAGAAAAGAAAAGAAACAGGCUGCACAUGACACAGAAAUUCUCUGCUGACUU